GAUGAACGCUGGCGGCGUGCCUAAUACAUGCAAGUCGAGCGAACGGACGAGAAGCUUGCUUCUCUGAUGUUAGCGGCGGACGGGUGAGUAACACGUGGAUAACCUACCUAUAAGACUGGGAUAACUUCGGGAAACCGGAGCUAAUACCGGAUGAUAUUUUGAACCGCAUGGUUCAAAAGUGAAAGACGGUCUUGCUGUCACUUAUAGAUGGAUCCGCGCUGCAUUAGCUAGUUGGUAAGGUAACGGCUUACCAAGGCAACGAUGCAUAGCCGACCUGAGAGGGUGAUCGGCCACACGAGAACUGAGACACGGUCCAGACUCCUACGGGAGGCAGCAGUAGGGAAUCUUCCGCAAUGGGCGAAAGCCUGACGGAGCAACGCCGCGUGAGUGAUGAAGGUCUUCGGAUCGUAAAACUCUGUUAUUAGGGAAGAACAUAUGUGUAAGUAACUGUGCACAGCUUGACGGUACCUAAUCAGAAAGCCACGGCUAACUACGUG
This 497-nucleotide ribosomal RNA is filed under the name uncultured bacterium. RNAcentral describes it as "partial 16S ribosomal RNA". It matches the Rfam family "Bacterial small subunit ribosomal RNA", at positions 28 to 507 of the family's 1533-position model. The record is from RNAcentral.